GGGUUGUGAGGUUAAGCGACUAAGCGUACACGGUGGAUGCCCUGGCAGUUAGAGGCGAUGAAGGGCGUGCUAAUCUGCGAUAAGCGCCGGUAAGGUGAUAUGAACCGUUAUAACCGGCGAUACCCGAAUGGGGAAACCCAGUGUGAUUCGUCACACUAUCAUUAACUGAAUCCAUAGGUUAAUGAGGCGAACCGGGGGAACUGAAACAUCUAAGUACCCCGAGGAAAAGAAAUCAACCGAGAUUCCCCCAGUAGCGGCGAGCGAACGGGGAGGAGCCCAGAGCCUGAAUCAGCAUGUGUGUUAGUGGAAGCGUCUGGAAAGGCGCGCGAUACAGGGUGACAGCCCCGUACACAAAAGCGCAUGUGCUGUGAGCUCGAUGAGUAGGGCGGGACACGUGGUAUCCUGUCUGAAUAUGGGGGGACCAUCCUCCAAGGCUAAAUACUCCUGACUGACCGAUAGUGAACCAGUACCGUGAGGGAAAGGCGAAAAGAACCCCGGCGAGGGGAGUGAAAAAGAACCUGAAACCGUGUACGUACAAGCAGUGGGAGCCCCACCACUAAGCCAGUGGUGAACUCCACAUACGCAUCCUUUGCUGAGGAUACGGUUAACGGAGCGAAAGCGACGUUCAACCUCAAAAGAAGCAGAGGGGGCUUAGUGGUGGGGUGACUGCGUACCUUUUGUAUAAUGGGUCAGCGACUUAUAUUCUGUAGCAAGGUUAACCGAAUAGGGGAGCCGGAGGGAAACCGAGUCUUAACCGGGCGUUAAGUUGCAGGGUAUAGACCCGAAACCCGGUGAUCUAGCCAUGGGCAGGUUGAAGGUUGGGUAACACUAACUGGAGGACCGAACCGACUAAUGUUGAAAAAUUAGCGGAUGACCUGUGGCUGGGGGUGAAAGGCCAAUCAAACCGGGAGAUAGCUGGUUCUCCCCGAAAGCUAUUUAGGUAGCGCCUCGUGAAUUCAUCUCCGGGGGUAGAGCACUGUUUCGGCUAGGGGGUCAUCCCGACUUACCAACCCGAUGCAAACUGCGAAUACCGGAGAAUGUUAUCACGGGAGACACACGGCGGGUGCUAACGUCCGUCGUGAAGAGGGAAACAACCCAGACCGCCAGCUAAGGUCCCAAAGUCAUGGUUAAGUGGGAAACGAUGUGGGAAGGCCCAGACAGCCAGGAUGUUGGCUUAGAAGCAGCCAUCAUUUAAAGAAAGCGUAAUAGCUCACUGGUCGAGUCGGCCUGCGCGGAAGAUGUAACGGGGCUAAACCAUGCACCGAAGCUGCGGCAGCGAACGUAUCACCCAAGACAACUUUACGGAGUUGACGAUUGAUGGAGCGAAGCGACGUCAAAGCGUUCAUUAAAGUCGAGUUGGCUUAGGGA
RNAcentral lists this ribosomal RNA (1368 nucleotides) under Salmonella enterica. RNAcentral's name for it is "partial 23S ribosomal RNA". It matches the Rfam family "Bacterial large subunit ribosomal RNA", at positions 1 to 1235 of the family's 2925-position model. Lineage: Bacteria; Pseudomonadati; Pseudomonadota; Gammaproteobacteria; Enterobacterales; Enterobacteriaceae. The record is from RNAcentral.